RNAcentral lists this ribosomal RNA (505 nucleotides) under uncultured bacterium. Its description in RNAcentral is "partial 16S ribosomal RNA". It matches the Rfam family "Bacterial small subunit ribosomal RNA", at positions 28 to 507 of the family's 1533-position model. The record is from RNAcentral.
GACGAACGCUGGCGGCGUGCCUAAUACAUGCAAGUAGAACGCACAGUUUAUACCGUAGCUUGCUACACCAUAAACUGUGAGUUGCGAACGGGUGAGUAACGCGUAGGUAACCUGCCUGGUAGCGGGGGAUAACUAUUGGAAACGAUAGCUAAUACCGCAUAAUAUUAAUUAUUGCAUGAUAAUUGAUUGAAAGAUGCAAUUGCAUCACUACCAGAUGGACCUGCGUUGUAUUAGCUAGUAGGGGAGGUAACGGCUCACCUAGGCGACGAUACAUAGCCGACCUGAGAGGGUGAUCGGCCACACUGGGACUGAGACACGGCCCAGACUCCUACGGGAGGCAGCAGUAGGGAAUCUUCGGCAAUGGACGAAAGUCUGACCGAGCAACGCCGCGUGAGUGAAGAAGGUUUUCGGAUCGUAAAGCUCUGUUGUAAGAGAAGAACGGGUGUGAGAGUGGAAAGUUCACACUGUGACGGUAUCUUACCAGAAAGAGACGGCUAACUACGUG